This 390-nucleotide ribosomal RNA is filed under the name uncultured bacterium. RNAcentral describes it as "bacterial SSU rRNA". It matches the Rfam family "Bacterial small subunit ribosomal RNA", at positions 30 to 420 of the family's 1533-position model. The record is from RNAcentral.
AUUGAACGCUGGCGGCAUGCCUUACACAUGCAAGUCGAACGGCAGCACGGGGCAACCUGGUGGCGAGUGGCGAACGGGUGAGUAAUGCAUCGGAACGUGCCAUUGAGUGGGGGAUAACGUAGCGAAAGUUGCGCUAAUACCGCAUAUUCUGUGAGCAGGAAAGCAGGGGGACCGCAAGGCCUUGCGCUCUUUGAGCGGCCGAUGUCAGAUUAGCUAGUUGGUGAGGUAACGGCUUACCAAGGCGACGAUCUGUAGCGGGUCUGAGAGGAUGAUCCGCCACACUGGAACUGAGACACGGUCCAGACUCCUACGGGAGGCAGCAGUGGGGAAUUUUGGGACAAUGGGCGCAAGCCUGAUCCAGCCAUGCCGCGUGAGUGAAGAAGGCCUCGG